AGACUACUGAAUUCGUGCAGAGAGUUCAUCAGACACCAGACCAUCAGUCCUGAUGAGACUCCCAAGAUAAGCGAAGCG
Non-coding RNA from Schistosoma rodhaini, 78 nucleotides. The record is from Rfam. NCBI's taxonomy places the organism in Eukaryota, Metazoa, Platyhelminthes, Trematoda, Strigeidida, Schistosomatidae.